AACCAUCAGAAGCACAGGAUAGAGUUG
Molecule: non-coding RNA, 27 nt
Filed under: Mus musculus (house mouse)
Lineage: Eukaryota; Metazoa; Chordata; Mammalia; Rodentia; Muridae
Source: RNAcentral